This is a long non-coding RNA of Neopsephotus bourkii (Bourke's parrot), 1235 nucleotides long. RefSeq lists it as uncharacterized. The record is from RefSeq and is a predicted model, not a curated record. NCBI's taxonomy places the organism in Eukaryota, Metazoa, Chordata, Aves, Psittaciformes, Psittacidae. The transcript is spliced from 2 exons.
CGCAGCAUCACAGUGCUCUGGGGCUGUAUAAGGCAGCGUCAUCCCCUGUCCCACUGCCAGAGUGCUCGGCACUGCCACCAGGGCAGGGCUGGCAGCCUGAGGGCAUCCGAGGGGAAGUGCUUGGGGCAGCGGGGGGAUUACUGGGAGGGGGGAGUGGGCUGGUGGGGGGAACACUUGAAGCUGCACGAAGCUGCGGGAGGUUCUGUGCUGCAGUUCCAGCUCCUGGAGGAGCCAUGCUCAAAUCUCCUUGGCUGGAUGGAUGGAAAUCCUGCUCCAGCUGCCGGGGGACCCGCCGUCCUCAUCUGCUGGGCCCUGGGGAAUUGCCUGUCGGGGGGCUGAAGGAGGGAACACCUGGAGCUGCACAAAGCUGAAGGAGGUUCUGUGCUGCAGUUCCAGCUCCUGGAGGGGCCACUCUCAAAGCAUCAUUUAGGGCUCCUGCCUCAGUCAUCGGGAAGCUCACUGUUCUUAUCGCCCGGGGAGAGAGUGGCAGUAGCCAGAAGAAAAAGAAUGCACAGAUGGCUCCGUGCCCUCUCCCAGUGCUCUCGAGCUCCCACUGCCAAGCACAGGAGGGAUUCUUGCUCCAAGGAUUCACCAGGCCAAUGGCAUUUUUCUCUUGUUGGAAGCCCCUGAAAUGGCUCUGGGUGGAAGCAGAAAAGGCAGUGCCAGUUGUCCCCUUGUCCCCUUAGAGGUGGAACCAGCGUGUGGACCAGGAGCAGGUCUUGCUCACAUGCUCAGGGAGUAGCCGAUCACCAGCACUGGGGUCAGGAAGGAAUUUUCCCCAGGAGCAGAUCGGCACCAGUCCCCGGGGGUUUUUUGCCUUCCUCUGAGCACUGAGCAUGACCACUUGUCAGGGCUCCUCGGUCCUUUCUGGCUGCGUUAUCACCCGGUGCUCAUGCUCCAUGCAGGUGGCCCUCGUGCCCCGCAUACAGGGGGAGGCAGCCUUCUGGACUCCCAGGGUGGCCCCAGAGUGGCCCCGGGACUUGCUGCUGUCCUCUGUAGCAUUGAGCACCACCCCUUGUCAGCUCUUCCCUGGCCCUUUCUGGCUGGGUUCUUCUUGCACUGCUCUCCCACUACCACGGCACCGCUCCUGCCCUGCCUUUCCUUUGUCAGGCUGCAAGGGAUGUUUUUUCCAGAUAAACUGAAGGCUCUAAACUAAAACAGACAAAAAUUAACUAAGCUAAACUAAAUCAAAUAACUUCAUUUAGAAAUAAAUAAAAUACUCUUUCCACUUGUAA